RNAcentral lists this ribosomal RNA (775 nucleotides) under uncultured bacterium. RNAcentral describes it as "bacterial SSU rRNA". It matches the Rfam family "Bacterial small subunit ribosomal RNA", at positions 9 to 795 of the family's 1533-position model. The record is from RNAcentral.
GAGUUUGAUCCUGGCUCAGGAUGAACGCUGGCGGCGUGCUUAACACAUGCAAGUCGAACGAUGAUCCGGUGCUUGCGCCGGGGAUUAGUGGCGAACGGGUGAGUAACACGUGAGUAACCUGCCCUUAACUCUGGGAUAAGCCUGGGAAACUGGGUCUAAUACCGGAUAUGACUCCUCAUCGCAUGGUGGGGGGUGGAAAGCUUUAUUGUGGUUUUGGAUGGACUCGCGGCCUAUCAGCUUGUUGGUGAGGUAAUGGCUCACCAAGGCGACGACGGGUAGCCGGCCUGAGAGGGUGACCGGCCACACUGGGACUGAGACACGGCCCAAACUCCUACGGGAGGCAGCAGUGGGGAAUAUUGCACAAUGGGCGCAAGCCUGAUGCAGCGACGCCGCGUGAGGGAUGACGGCCUUCGGGUUGUAAACCUCUUUCAGUAGGGAAGAAGCGAAAGUGACGGUACCUGCAGAAGAAGCGCCGGCUAACUACGUGCCAGCAGCCGCGGUAAUACGUAGGGCGCAAGCGUUAUCCGGAAUUAUUGGGCGUAAAGAGCUCGUAGGCGGUUUGUCGCGUCUGCCGUGAAAGUCUGGGGCUCAACUCCGGAUUUGCGGUGGGUACGGGCAGACUAGAGUGAUGUAGGGGAGACUGGAAUUCCUGGUGUAGCGGUGAAAUGCGCAGAUAUCAGGAGGAACACCAGUAGCGAAGGCGGUGCUUUGGGCCGGUACUGACGCUGAGGAGCGAAAGCGUGGGUAGCGAACAGGAUUAGAUACCCUGGUAGUC